Long non-coding RNA from Gavialis gangeticus (Gharial), 284 nucleotides. RefSeq lists it as uncharacterized. NCBI's taxonomy places the organism in Eukaryota, Metazoa, Chordata, Crocodylia, Gavialidae. The transcript is spliced from 3 exons. The record is from RefSeq and is a predicted model, not a curated record.
GAGCGGGUCAGUGCAGAGGCCUUUCAGUGGAUCUGGGUGAAGUCUUCACUAUGUAGCAGCUGGGUCUUUUGCCUUUGAAGCAGUACAGGAUUCCUCUGGGCUGCAGCCUUUUCUAGUUUUAUAUAACUCAAACAAUGAAACAAUCCCCAUUCCACACUCCACUGCCCACCCCACAGACUUCCCUCAUUAUUUAGUUUCCUCCUAUUCAUCCUGCAAGUAUCCUGACCUUCACAUACACAUCCUAACCCAGACACUCCCACCCUGUUAUGAAAGUUAGGUCUUUC